UUUCCAGACUCCUACGGGAGGCAGCAGUGAGGAAUAUUGGUCAAUGGCCGAGAGGCUGAACCAGCCAAGUCGCGUGAGGGAUGACGGCCCUACGGGUUGUAAACCUCUUUUGUCGGGGAGCAAAGAGAGUCACGUGUGGCUCAUUGAGAGUACCCGAAGAAAAAGCAUCGGCUAACUCCGUGCCAGCAGCCGCGGUAAUACGGAGGAUGCGAGCGUUAUCCGGAUUUAUUGGGUUUAAAGGGUGCGUAGGCGGGUUAUCAAGUCAGCGGUAAAAUCGUGGAGCUCAACUCCAUCCAGCCGUUGAAACUGAUGAUCUUGAGUGGGCGAGAAGUAUGCGGAAUGCGUGAUGUAGCGGUGAAAUGCAUAGAUAUCACGCAGAACUCCGAUUGCGAAGGCAGCAUACCGGCGCCCGACUGACGCUGAAGCACGAAGGCGUGGGUAUCGAACAGGAUUAGAUACCCCUGUAG
RNAcentral lists this ribosomal RNA (467 nucleotides) under uncultured bacterium. RNAcentral describes it as "bacterial SSU rRNA". It matches the Rfam family "Bacterial small subunit ribosomal RNA", at positions 328 to 793 of the family's 1533-position model. The record is from RNAcentral.